GAGCGGCAUCAGGAACAUUAGAUUGGGAGGAAGUUGACUCGUUUGCACCCCUGGAGCCCUCUGAGAUAUGAGACCUUCAGAGGCAUCAAAGUGGCAAGGAAGUGAAAAUCAUGGGGAAAUAGAGAACACCUCCUCCUCCAAGUCCGAUGCAGGAAGAGGGUCAUGUUAAAUGGCCUCAGAAAAUAUCUACACAUCCUUUUCACCUUUCUUCAGAAGGCUGAGGAAAAAGUUAAGAGAAGGCCAUUGAGAAGGAAAGACAAGAUAUGGCUUGGAUUUUAGCAUCAUGCUUACAUUGUAGCUUUUCUUUUUUUGGCAACUGCAUGGGUAUGGAUGUAUUUUUAACCUCACAGAGCCUCAGUUUUCUUGUCAGUAAAAUGGGGAACGUGAAAUGCAAAGUAGUAAGAAUUAAAUAAUUUAUACUAGUACUGUGCCUAAAAAAUCAGAGGCAUUGCAACUAAAGGUUUCUCCAUUUUUCUUUUUAUUAACACUUUUCUUUCAUAAAUGCGCCAUCAAGGGGAAGCAUGAUGGUGGAAAGGCAAUUCUCCCAGAUGCUAUGGAAGAUACAUGAGACAAA
Molecule: long non-coding RNA, 574 nt
Filed under: Homo sapiens (human)
Lineage: Eukaryota; Metazoa; Chordata; Mammalia; Primates; Hominidae
Description: HSALNT0091133
Source: RNAcentral